GACGAACGCUGGCGGCGUGCUUAACACAUGCCAGUCGAACGGAAAGGCCCCUUUGGGGGUACUCGAGUGGCGCACGGGUGAGUAACACGUGAGUAACCUGCCCUUGACUUCGGGAUAACUUCAGGAAACUGGGGCUAAUACCGGAUAGGAAUCCUUGCUGCAUGGUGGGGGUUGGAAAGCUUCGGCGGUUUUGGAUGGACUCGCGGCUUAUCAGCUUGUUGGUGGGGUAGUGGCUUACCAAGGCUUUGACGGGUAGCCGGCCUGAGAGGGCGACCGGCCACAUUGGGACUGAGAUACGGCCCAGACUCCUACGGGAGGCAGCAGUGGGGAAUAUUGCACAAUGGGCGGAAGCCUGAUGCAGCAACGCCGCGUGCGGGAUGACGGCCUUCGGGUUGUAAACCGCUUUCAGCAGGGGCGAAGCUUGUGGUGACGGUACCUGCAGAAGAAGCACCGGCUAACUACGUG
This 465-nucleotide ribosomal RNA is filed under the name uncultured bacterium. RNAcentral describes it as "partial 16S ribosomal RNA". It matches the Rfam family "Bacterial small subunit ribosomal RNA", at positions 28 to 507 of the family's 1533-position model. The record is from RNAcentral.